This 832-nucleotide ribosomal RNA is filed under the name uncultured Gammaproteobacteria bacterium. RNAcentral's name for it is "bacterial SSU rRNA". It matches the Rfam family "Bacterial small subunit ribosomal RNA", at positions 61 to 888 of the family's 1533-position model. The record is from RNAcentral. Lineage: Bacteria; Pseudomonadati; Pseudomonadota; Gammaproteobacteria.
GUCGUGCGAGAAAGUAUCUUCGGAUAUGAGUAGAGCGGCGGACGGGUGAGUAACGCGUAGGAAUCUACCUAGUAGAAGGGGAUAGCCCGGGGAAACUCGGAUUAAUACCGUAUACCUCCUUUGGGAGAAAGAAGGCCUCUCUUUGAAGCUUUCGCUAUUAGAUGAGCCUGCGUAAGAUUAGCUUGUUGGUGAGGUAAAGGCUCACCAAGGCGACGAUCUUUAGCGGGUCUGAGAGGACGAUCCGCCACAUUGGGACUGAGACACGGCCCAGACUCCUACGGGAGGCAGCAGUGGGGAAUAUUGGACAAUGGGCGCAAGCCUGAUCCAGCCAUACCGCGUGUGUGAAGAAGGCCCUAGGGUUGUAAAGCACUUUAAGUUGGGAAGAAAAGUUAUUGGAUAAUACUCAAUGACCGUGACAUUACCUUCAGAAUAAGGACCGGCUAAUUCCGUGCCAGCAGCCGCGGUAAUACGGAAGGUCCAAGCGUUAAUCGGAAUUACUGGGCGUAAAGCGCGCGUAGGUGGUUUAUUAAGUUGGAUGUGAUAUCCCCGGGCUCAACCUGGGAACUGCAUCCAAAACUGAUUCACUAGAGUACGAUAGAGGGAGGUAGAAUUCACAGUGUAGCGGUGGAAUGCGUAGAUAUUGUGAAGAAUACCAAUGGCGAAGGCAGCCUCCUGGAUCUGUACUGACACUAAGGUGCGAAAGCGUGGGUAGCGAACAGGAUUAGAUACCCUGGUAGUCCACGCCGUAAACGAUGUCAACUAGCUGUUGGGAGACUAUGUUUUUCAGUGGCGCAGCUAACGUAGUAAGUUGACCGCCUGGGGAGUACGGCCG